This 867-nucleotide long non-coding RNA is filed under the name Ananas comosus (pineapple). RNAcentral describes it as "long non-coding RNA (ACOM_LNC024984)". Lineage: Eukaryota; Viridiplantae; Streptophyta; Magnoliopsida; Poales; Bromeliaceae. The record is from RNAcentral.
GGCGACGACGACAACGACGAAGAAGAAGAAGAAAUGGCGGAGGCGAUCGCGGAGGCCGCCAUAUUUUUUUUAGUGGGAUUGCUGUGUAAAUUCGAUGGAUUUGGGAUUUUGAGGUGGAAUUAUUAUUCGAGCAAAGGUAUGUUCAUCUCCACUUCUUUUUUUUAGCUCAAUUCUUUUUUUUUCUGGGAGUUAUUAUUAUUAUUAUUAUUUUUUGUUGGUCUAAUUUAGCAUUGCCAAGGAAGCAGAGGAAUCAGAUUUGGGCCAAUAGAAGUUGGAGAGGCUUAUCUCUUCAUUCUCCAGGAUGGGGCCACUACAGAGCCUUGAAAUAACUGUAGCCAUGAAAAAGGUGCUCCUCUCCUAACCAUGAAUAAAUCAUUCUCUUUUUUUUUUUUUUAACAUUAUUUUACUUUUAGCAAAAUGUGCUGAUAAAUCCUAAACUUGUCUUUCAUAGUCUUAGUUCUUUGAUUUUACAUCAAAGGACUUAGCAGUAUUAGAGCUCUUUGUGUUUCCAGCACCUACAAGGCUUUUGUAUAUAUUGCUAACUACCAACUACAAAUACACAUAUUCUGUGUGCUUGGAUAAAGUUUACAUCCCUGAGAAACAUUAAUGAUUUUACAUGGAUCAUGAAGCAUCGUUUCGAAGACAUGCUUCCUUUCUAUCUUCAUUUCCUCCUUUCUACACAUCCUUCUUCCCUAGCAGCAUUUCUCGAACUACAUGCAAUUCCUUGAUGACAUCUCCAAUCAGCAUUCGCUCAGCGGGGAAUUGCUUUGAACACAUGAGGCCGACUCUAAGCAAUGAAACUAUGCACUGAAAUGCUUUUCCGCCAGUCGAUUCCUUCUCUUCGAAAGCUUCGUCUUCAUCAUCUGC